GCAGUGCCAUGUCGGCACCGGGGAUCUGAACUGGCGAACCCCGGGCAGCUGAAGCGGAACGUGCGAACUUAACUGCUGCACCACCAGGCUGGCCCCUCAUGUUCUGAUCUUUCAAGGCCUGAAGCAAAAGCUGAAGUUGAUGAUUAACCCCUCACUGCCUGUGUAUCGGUGGGAACAACCGUUCACGUGGUCUUAUCUCAGAGUUUUGCUUCUGGUCCAGAGACGAUGCCUGGGAGUGGAGUAGGAGCCACCCAAUUGUGACAGUGGGUAAUAGGGUGCAGUUUGGUCGGUCCCCCAGCAGUGAUACCCUCUGGCAAUGAGCUCCCCAGGAAUUGUGGAGAAGAAUUUUCCUUCAAGGCUGGGGGAAUGCAGGUCAAGGCUGAAAUCAGCUACUUAGGGGAUUACACUAUAUGAGAGAUCACCGGGAGAAUCAGACUUCUCAGAAUUGCCCCCAAACACUGAGAAAAGGUCCAACCAGGGUCUGGAAUCCUCUCCCUGCCUCUGAACUCCCAGCUGUCAUUGUCUUGAACACUCACUUGACAUUAAACAUACAUUUUCCUCUGA
Non-coding RNA from Equus caballus (horse), 564 nucleotides. The record is from RefSeq and is a predicted model, not a curated record. NCBI's taxonomy places the organism in Eukaryota, Metazoa, Chordata, Mammalia, Perissodactyla, Equidae.